Pelobates cultripes (western spadefoot toad) is the source of this 305-nucleotide non-coding RNA. Lineage: Eukaryota; Metazoa; Chordata; Amphibia; Anura; Pelobatidae. The record is from the annotation of a GenBank genome assembly.
GUAAAUUACAGUAUAUACUCGAGUAUAAGUCUAGUUUUUCAGCACAUUUUUUGUGCUUAAAAACCCCCACUCGACUUAUACUCGAGUCACUGUCUGUAUUAUGGAAACUUAGAGAGCCGUCAGAACCAUGGCAACGAUCAGCGCGGCAACCAGACUGCAAGACUUACAGUGGAGCUGACCGGAAUGGAGGAGAAGGGAGCUGACAGGAGCUGCAGGAAAGGUAAGUAAAUGCUUCCUGCCAGCCCCCCCACUUCACAGCCCAUGCCACUGGACCACCAGGGAUUAAGAUAGCCCUCCUCCCUGAC